This 707-nucleotide ribosomal RNA is filed under the name Lysobacter sp. RNAcentral describes it as "bacterial SSU rRNA". It matches the Rfam family "Bacterial small subunit ribosomal RNA", at positions 76 to 775 of the family's 1533-position model. Lineage: Bacteria; Pseudomonadati; Pseudomonadota; Gammaproteobacteria; Lysobacterales; Lysobacteraceae. The record is from RNAcentral.
GAGCUUGCUCCUUGGGUGGCGAGUGGCGGACGGGUGAGGAAUACGUCGGAAUCUGCCUAUUUGUGGGGGAUAACGUAGGGAAACUUACGCUAAUACCGCAUACGACCUACGGGUGAAAGCGGAGGACCUUCGGGCUUCGCGCAGAUAGAUGAGCCGACGUCGGAUUAGCUAGUUGGCGGGGUAAAGGCCCACCAAGGCGACGAUCCGUAGCUGGUCUGAGAGGAUGAUCAGCCACACUGGAACUGAGACACGGUCCAGACUCCUACGGGAGGCAGCAGUGGGGAAUAUUGGACAAUGGGCGCAAGCCUGAUCCAGCCAUGCCGCGUGUGUGAAGAAGGCCUUCGGGUUGUAAAGCACUUUUGUCCGGAAAGAAAAGCAUUGGGUUAAUACCCCGAUGUCAUGACGGUACCGGAAGAAUAAGCACCGGCUAACUUCGUGCCAGCAGCCGCGGUAAUACGAAGGGUGCAAGCGUUACUCGGAAUUACUGGGCGUAAAGCGUGCGUAGGUGGUUUGUUAAGUCUGAUGUGAAAGCCCUGGGCUCAACCUGGGAAUGGCAUUGGAAACUGGCUGACUAGAGUGCGGUAGAGGGUAGUGGAAUUCCCGGUGUAGCAGUGAAAUGCGUAUAUAUCGGGAGGAACAUCUGUGGCGAAUGCGACUACCUGGACCAGCACUGACACUGAGGCACGAAAGCGUGGGGGAGCAAACAG